UAGCCAUGCCGCGUGAGUGACGAAGGCCUUAGGGUCGUAAAGCUCUUUCGCCCGGGAUGAUAGUGACGGUACCUGGUAAAGAAACCCCGGCUAACUCCGUGCCAGCAGCCGCGGUAAUACUGAGGGGGUUAGCGUUGUUCGGAAUUACUGGGCGUAAAGCGCACGUAAGCGGACUGGAAAGUUGGGGGUGAAAUCCCGGGGCUCAACCUCGGAACUGCCUCCAAACUCCUACUCUAAAGUUCGAGAGAGGUGAGUGGAAUUCCGAGUGUAAAGGUGAAAUUCAUAUAUAUUCGGAGGAACACCAUUGGCAAAGGCGGCUCACUGCUCGAUACUGACGCUGAGGUCUAAAGUGUGGGGAGCAAACAGGAUUAAAUACCCUGGUAGUCCACACCGUAAAUAUGAAGGCCAUUCGUCCGUAGCAUGCUUGUCGGUACACCUGACCAUUAACUUCCGCCUGGGGAUACGGUCCAAGAUUAAAACUCAAAGAAAUUCACGGUUAAACUCAAUGAUUUACGG
Molecule: ribosomal RNA, 516 nt
Filed under: uncultured marine bacterium
Lineage: Bacteria
Description: bacterial SSU rRNA
Rfam family: Bacterial small subunit ribosomal RNA
Source: RNAcentral